RNAcentral lists this unclassified non-coding RNA (28 nucleotides) under Mus musculus (house mouse). RNAcentral describes it as "oocyte_clustered_small_RNA6656". The record is from RNAcentral. Lineage: Eukaryota; Metazoa; Chordata; Mammalia; Rodentia; Muridae.
UGGCCUUCCAUGGCCUCUCACAUGCCAA